UAAGAAAGCCUAAAUACAAUCUACUAGAAAUUACACCAUCAUACAUGCUCACUCUAACUACAACAUUUUCUUUCUUCAAUCAUGAUUUUUCUUACCACUAGCAUUAAUUCAACUCGCAUGAAAUAACGAGUUUGACAUUAAAUUAUUAUCAGGUCAAAUGGUAAUUGUAUAUAACUAACAAGAUGUCUAAGUUGCCACUCGGUACUACGGUCUGAUGGUAUUCUUCUUCACUUGGAAGUGAGAGAUCUUAGGUUCAAAUCUCGUGGAUGGCGAAUUCGAUACCAAAUUAGGUUGCCCAUUGUAUGGCUUAGCCGAACUCCCAAUUCCUCUAGUGUAAAAAUACCGAUGUACUAAAAAAAAACAAGAUGUCUAUUUUUUAUUUUAAGUGAAAUGAUACAACUUUUUAUUUAUGUUUUAAGUAAAGCAAAAUGCUAAGGAAACUCUUUCAAAAGUAGGUCUCUCCAUGAACUCUUCACCACCUCUUAUUUUUUACACAAUGAUUUAUAAUGUUGGCAUGAAAAUUAUGUCAAAAACAUAAAGUGGUAGAAAGUCCAUGAUAAGUCUCUUAAAUCAAAAGAUGCGACUUUUGUCUCUAUAAAUAGACACAUCU
RNAcentral lists this long non-coding RNA (610 nucleotides) under Malus domestica (apple). RNAcentral describes it as "long non-coding RNA (MDOM_LNC003268)". Lineage: Eukaryota; Viridiplantae; Streptophyta; Magnoliopsida; Rosales; Rosaceae. The record is from RNAcentral.